RNAcentral lists this ribosomal RNA (253 nucleotides) under uncultured bacterium. RNAcentral describes it as "partial 16S ribosomal RNA". It matches the Rfam family "Bacterial small subunit ribosomal RNA", at positions 524 to 776 of the family's 1533-position model. The record is from RNAcentral.
UACGAAGGGGGCUAGCGUUGCUCGGAAUUACUGGGCGUAAAGGGCGCGUAGGCGGCCAUAUAAGUCAGGCGUGAAAUUCCUGGGCUUAACCUGGGGGCUGCGCUUGAGACUGUGUGGCUUGAGGUCAGAAGAGGGUCGUGGAAUUCCCAGUGUAGAGGUGAAAUUCGUAGAUAUUGGGAAGAACACCGGUGGCGAAGGCGGCGACCUGGUCUGAUACUGACGCUGAGGCGCGACAGCGUGGGGAGCAAACAGG